This 305-nucleotide ribosomal RNA is filed under the name uncultured bacterium. RNAcentral describes it as "bacterial SSU rRNA". It matches the Rfam family "Bacterial small subunit ribosomal RNA", at positions 337 to 635 of the family's 1533-position model. The record is from RNAcentral.
GCCUACGGGACGCAGCAGUAGGGAAUUUUCGUCAAUGGGCGCAAGCCUGAACGAGCAAUGCCGCGUGAACGAGGAAGGUCUUCGGAUCGUAAAGUUCUGUUGAAGGGGAAAAAGAGCGGAGAGAGGAAAUGCUUUCUGAUUGAUAUUACCCUUCGAGGAAGUCACGGCUAACUACGUGCCAGCAGCCGCGGUAAUACGUAGGUGGCGAGCGUUAUCCGGAAUGAUUGGGCGUAAAGGGUGCGUAGGCGGCCUGCUAAGUCUGGAGUGAAAGGUACCGGCUCGACCGGUGCAGGCUCUGGAAACUG